AGCUGAAAAAACAAUAUCAGUGACAAUAAAAGUCAGGCACUGGCCCAGAAGGCUGCCACAGAAACACUGUGUGCAUGCGCCCUGAUCCCCUCUGCUGGGCCUCAGGGAUAAGUUUGGCUACAGACAUCA
Molecule: small nucleolar RNA, 129 nt
Filed under: Myotis brandtii (Brandt's bat)
Lineage: Eukaryota; Metazoa; Chordata; Mammalia; Chiroptera; Vespertilionidae
Description: Small nucleolar RNA SNORA5
Rfam family: Small nucleolar RNA SNORA5
About the family: ACA5 is a member of the H/ACA class of snoRNA that guide the sites of modification of uridines to pseudouridines.
Source: Rfam by way of RNAcentral